AGACUAGAACACAGCUGAGCCAUGGCAUGAGUGGAAAAGCUCAGAUUCGCCAGCCACUGUUGCUCAGACGGUGAUAAAAAGCCUUCUCCUAAUGACUUUCUUUUCAUCUGUGGACUCUGAACGCUCUUGGGUUACAGCCUUGUUGGUCACGGCUCAUAAUAGGCCUUGCAGAGCAAUGAUACGGUGCUAGGUUAGCCAGACACUUAAAUGAGCGUCUCUAUUGAUAGAUGUAGGAUGUUUCUAAAUGAACUGGGAAAUGCAAUUUUUACGGCUCAGAGACUGUUCUGUGAUCCUAGGUUUUAGAGGAGAUGUUGACAUGUCAGUUCUAAAGCCUGCAUCUUCUUUCAGACCACUAAGGCCUUUCUUCCAACGAUGCUGGAGAUUAAUCAUGGCCAUAUUGUGACGGUGGCGAGCUCCCUGGGACUGUUCAGCACUGCUGGAGUUGAGGUUUGUCAGUUCAAAAGCACAUCGAAAAAAGACCAGCUACCACACCUUCCUGUCAGCUCAUGGUGCUUCCCUCUGACCCAGGACCAGCUCUGGAGGAGAACAGCCCAGUCCUCACAGAGCAGUUUUCCUUAGCAGCCUUGAUGGCGGUUAAGGCCUAGGGUCAAGAUGGCCCAUAGAGCGAAGACAGAGAAGUAAGGGCUCACAUUCUGUUUUAGUCAACCGGCCAAAAGUGAGCUGC
RNAcentral lists this long non-coding RNA (685 nucleotides) under Rattus norvegicus (Norway rat). RNAcentral describes it as "long non-coding RNA NONRATT022974". The record is from RNAcentral. Lineage: Eukaryota; Metazoa; Chordata; Mammalia; Rodentia; Muridae.